UAUCAAUUUUGUUUCAGAGUCAAACCACGAGCUGAAUUCCUCCCCGAAGUUUGUUCAGCCCACGCCGAGGAAUGGACAAGGACAGCUUAAAGACCAGGCAUCUCCGUCCUGCCUUCCCCUGGAUAACGCAGUAAGGGAACCCCACUGUAGGACACAGCGCAGACAGAGAGACAGCAAGCUCGACGAGAGUCACGUGCAGUCACCACCAGCUGAGGCUUCUUGU
This 223-nucleotide long non-coding RNA is filed under the name Homo sapiens (human). Its description in RNAcentral is "HSALNT0236653". Lineage: Eukaryota; Metazoa; Chordata; Mammalia; Primates; Hominidae. The record is from RNAcentral.